This 476-nucleotide ribosomal RNA is filed under the name uncultured organism. Its description in RNAcentral is "partial 16S ribosomal RNA". It matches the Rfam family "Bacterial small subunit ribosomal RNA", at positions 332 to 799 of the family's 1533-position model. The record is from RNAcentral.
UACACUCCUGCGGGAGGCAGCAGUGGGGAAUUUUGGCCAAUGGGCGAAAGCCUGAUCCAGCAAUGCCGCGUGAGUGAAGAAGGCCUUCGGGUUGUAAAGCUCUUUUGUCAGGGAAGAAACGGUGAAAGCUAAUAUCUUUUGCUAAUGACGGUACCUGAAGAAUAAGCACCGGCUAACUACGUGCCAGCAGCCGCGGUAAUACGUAGGGUGCAAGCGUUAAUCGGAAUUACUGGGCGUAAAGCGUGCGCAGGCGGUUUUGUAAGUCUGAUGUGAAAUCCCCGGGCUCAACCUGGGAAUUGCAUUGGAGACUGCAAGGCUAGAAUCUGGCAGAGGGGGGUAGAAUUCCACGUGUAGCAGUGAAAUGCGUAGAUAUGUGGAGGAACACCGAUGGCGAAGGCAGCCCCCUGGGUCAAGAUUGACGCUCAUGCACGAAAGCGUGGGGAGCAAACAGGAUUAGAUACCCGAGUAGUCCCAUG